AUGGUGAAACAUUGCGUUGAAGAUCAGAAUCGUCGCCACCGCACUGGCACGCCUUACGGCGGCGGUCGCGGCGGUGUAAAGAUCAGAAUUACUAAACGAAUAUACCACCAAGCUGAAGUUGUUCAAGCGGGCUCAAGGUUACUUCAUGAUUUUGUAAUGGUUUGGUUGAUGCAGUGGCUUUUUUGGUGUAGCAAGGACAUGGUUUUGACGAGCAUUUUGGGAGCAGGCUUUAAGAAGUUUGGAUUGUUUACAUGGCAGGUUUAUGAAGCAUGGUUUAUGCAGCUUGUUGGCAAGGUUUUGAACAUGGUGUUUGCAUUGAACAUUUGGCUUGUCAUGACUUAG
Vicia faba (fava bean) is the source of this 342-nucleotide non-coding RNA. The record is from the annotation of a GenBank genome assembly. NCBI's taxonomy places the organism in Eukaryota, Viridiplantae, Streptophyta, Magnoliopsida, Fabales, Fabaceae.